UCCUCAGGACCCCCUCAGUCAUCUGUCAGGCUGCUGCAGUUCCCAGUGUCUGCAGGGGGACUGGGGCUGCAGCCAGAGGAGAUCACUGUACAUGCUCAGAAAUGCUGUUAUCCCCCUCCAGCUGCUGCAGGGGGAAGGCCCCCUCCCCUCCACCCGGGUACGCUUUGGUGAUUGAAUUACAAAGUAGUGGAUGAUCAUUGAACCCAGUGCUGAUUCCCCUCCCCCUCUCCCACCUCCAGCACUUCCCCCCAGGAUCCUCCCCUUGAACUCCUACUGCUGCUCCUGACCACCACCUUCUGUCUGGGGCUGGUUGCAUCGUACCCAAGCCAGCAUGAAUUAAUGCCUCCAGAUUAAUUUGCGGGGCCCCAUCUCAAAUGCUUAACAGAGACCCAGACGUCUGCCUCAGCCCCUCUGUGGACUCAUUUGGCAAUUGUAAUUGAAAAACACAAAAGCAA
Molecule: long non-coding RNA, 455 nt
Organism: Ornithorhynchus anatinus (platypus)
Lineage: Eukaryota; Metazoa; Chordata; Mammalia; Monotremata; Ornithorhynchidae
Exons: 2
Source: RefSeq, a predicted model, not a curated record